GAUGAACGCUGGCGGCGUGCCUAAUACAUGCCAGUCGAGCGAACAGACGAGGAGCUUGCUCCUCUGACGUUAGCGGCGGACGGGUGAGUAACACGUGGAUAACCUACCUAUAAGACUGGGAUAACUUCGGGAAACCGGAGCUAAUACCGGAUAAUAUAUUGAACCGCAUGGUUCAAUAGUGAAAGACGGUUUUGCUGUCACUUAUAGAUGGAUCCGCGCCGCAUUAGCUAGUUGGUAAGGUAACGGCUUACCAAGGCAACGAUGCGUAGCCGACCUGAGGGUGAUCGGCCACACUGGAACUGAGACACGGUCCAGACUCCUACGGGAGGCAGCAGUAGGGAAUCUUCCGCAAUGGGCGAAAGCCUGACGGAGCAACGCCGCGUGAGUGAUGAAGGUCUUCGGAUCGUAAAACUCUGUUAUUAGGGAAGAACAAAUGUGUAAGUAACUAUGCACGUCUUGACGGUACCUAAUCAGAAAGCCACGGCUAACUACGUG
This 495-nucleotide ribosomal RNA is filed under the name uncultured bacterium. RNAcentral describes it as "partial 16S ribosomal RNA". It matches the Rfam family "Bacterial small subunit ribosomal RNA", at positions 28 to 507 of the family's 1533-position model. The record is from RNAcentral.